This 468-nucleotide ribosomal RNA is filed under the name uncultured bacterium. Its description in RNAcentral is "partial 16S ribosomal RNA". It matches the Rfam family "Bacterial small subunit ribosomal RNA", at positions 28 to 507 of the family's 1533-position model. The record is from RNAcentral.
GACGAACGCUGGCGGCGUGCUUAACACAUGCAAGUCGAACGGAAAGGCCCUGCUUUUGUGGGGUGCUCGAGUGGCGAACGGGUGAGUAACACGUGAGUAACCUGCCCUUGUCUUUGGGAUAACUUCAGGAAACUGGGGCUAAUACCGGAUAGGAGCUCCUGCUGCAUGGUGGGGGGUGGAAAGUUUCGGCGGUUGGGGAUGGACUCGCGGCUUAUCAGCUUGUUGGUGGGGUAGUGGCUUACCAAGGCUGUGACGGGUAGCCGGCCUGGGAGGGGGAACGGCCACAAGAGUCCUAAGAUACGGAGCAGUCUGGAACGUGAGGCAGCAGUCGGAAAUAUUACACAAUGAGCGGGAGUGUGAGGCGGAGGCGCCGCGUGCGGGAUGACGGCCUUCGGGUUGUAAACCGCUUUCGCCUGUGACGAAGCGGGAGUGACGGUAAUGAGUAAAGAAGCACCGGCUAACUACGUG